AAAGUUCCCUUCGGGGAGCGAGUAGAGUGGCGCACGGGUGAGUAACACGUGGGUAAUCUACCUUUGGAUGGGGAAUAACAACCGGAAACGGUUGCUAAUACCGCAUAAUGCAGCGGCACCUAAUGGUGACAGUUGUUAAAGCGGGGGAUCGCAAGACCUCGCGUCUAAAGAGGAGCCCGCGGCGGAUUAGCUAGUUGGUAAGGUAACGGCUUACCAAGGCGAUGAUCCGUAGCCGGCCUGAGAGGGCGGUCGGCCACACUGACACUGACAUACGGGUCAGACUCCUACGGGAGGCAGCAGUCGGGAAUUUUGGGCAAUGGGCGAAAGCCUGACCCAGCAACGCCGCGUGAAGGAUGAAAUCCUUCGGGAUGUAAACUUCGCAAGAACAGGAAGAAUAAGCCGGUGUAAAUACCACCGGCGAUGACGGUACUGUUUGUAAGCUCCGGCUAACUCCGUGCCAGCAGCCGCGGUAAUACGGGGGGAGCAAGCGUUGUUCGGAUUUACUGGGCGUAAAGGGCGCGUAGGCGGCCUCUGCAAGUCGACUGUGAAAUCUCCGGGCUUAACCCGGAAAGGUCAGCCGAUACUGCAGGGCUAGAGUGCAGAAGGGGCAACUGGAAUUCUCGGUGUAGCGGUGAAAUGCGUAGAUAUCGAGAGGAACACCUGCGGCGAAGGCGGGUUGCUGGGCUGACACUGACGCUGACAGCGCGAAAGCUAGGGGAGCGAACGGGAUUAGAUUCCCCGGUAGUCCUAGCCUUAAACGAUGAAUGCUUGGUGUCUGGGGUUUUAUAGUCCCCGGGUGCCGUCGCUAACGCUUUAAGCAUUCCGCCUGGGGAGUACGGUCGCAAGACUG
This 850-nucleotide ribosomal RNA is filed under the name uncultured Actinomycetes bacterium. RNAcentral's name for it is "bacterial SSU rRNA". It matches the Rfam family "Bacterial small subunit ribosomal RNA", at positions 70 to 896 of the family's 1533-position model. The record is from RNAcentral. Lineage: Bacteria; Bacillati; Actinomycetota; Actinomycetes.